Molecule: unclassified non-coding RNA, 200 nt
Filed under: soil metagenome
Description: partial contains internal transcribed spacer 2 and large subunit ribosomal RNA
Source: RNAcentral
CCUGUUCGAGCGUCAUUAUAACCACUCAAGCCUCGGCUUGGUCUUGGGGUUCGCGUUCCGCGGCCCUUAAAAUCAGUGGCGGUGCGUCUGGCUCUAAGCGUAGUAAUUCUCUCGCUAUAGGGUCCCGACGGCUACCUGUCAAAACCCCCUCAUUUUUUACGGUUGACCUCGGAUCAGGUAGGGAUACCCGCUGAACUUAA